GGAUGAACGCUGGCGGCGUGCCUAAUACAUGCAAGUCAAGCGAACAGACGAGGAGCUUGCUCCUUCGACGUUAGCGGCGGACGGGUGAGUAACACGUAGGUAACCUACCUAUAAGACUGGGAUAACUUCGGGAAACCGGAGCUAAUACCGGAUAAUAUUUCGAACCGCAUGGUUCGAUAGUGAAAGAUGGCUUUGCUAUCACUUAUAGAUGGACCUGCGCCGUAUUAGCUAGUUGGUAAGGUAACGGCUUACCAAGGCAACGAUACGUAGCCGACCUGAGAGGGUGAUCGGCCACACUGGAACUGAGACACGGUCCAGACUCCUACGGGAGGCAGCAGUAGGGAAUCUUCCGCAAUGGGCGAAAGCCUGACGGAGCAACGCCGCGUGAGUGAUGAAGGUCUUCGGAUCGUAAAACUCUGUUAUUAGGGAAGAACAAACGUGUAAGUAACUGUGCACGUCUUGACGGUACCUAAUCAGAAAGCCACGGCUAACUACGUG
RNAcentral lists this ribosomal RNA (498 nucleotides) under uncultured bacterium. RNAcentral's name for it is "partial 16S ribosomal RNA". It matches the Rfam family "Bacterial small subunit ribosomal RNA", at positions 27 to 507 of the family's 1533-position model. The record is from RNAcentral.